UCCCCUGAAAAGAGCACAAGUAGAAUUAGACUUUCACCAUUGUUAUCACCAUCAUCACCAUACACCAUUCAUUGGCCACACAUGCACAUCUUGAUUUGACUUAUUGACUUGUUUCUCUGGAUCCAUGGUUUGACUAUGCAAUAAAUGUCUUGUAAGUAUGUAUACUCUAUCUCCCACCUAUGAGCUCCAGAUAUCAAAAGCCUUAUUAGAGUAGGAUGAG
RNAcentral lists this long non-coding RNA (220 nucleotides) under Sorghum bicolor (sorghum). RNAcentral's name for it is "long non-coding RNA (SBIC_LNC008042)". Lineage: Eukaryota; Viridiplantae; Streptophyta; Magnoliopsida; Poales; Poaceae. The record is from RNAcentral.